RNAcentral lists this transfer RNA (82 nucleotides) under Aureitalea marina. RNAcentral's name for it is "Flavobacteria bacterium S1-66 tRNA". It matches the Rfam family "tRNA". Rfam says of the family: Transfer RNA (tRNA) molecules are approximately 80 nucleotides in length. Their secondary structure includes four short double-helical elements and three loops (D, anti-codon, and T loops). The record is from Rfam by way of RNAcentral. Lineage: Bacteria; Pseudomonadati; Bacteroidota; Flavobacteriia; Flavobacteriales; Flavobacteriaceae.
GCGGGUGUGGUGAAAUUGGUAGACACGCUAGAUUUAGGAUCUAGUGCCGCAAGGCGUGGGGGUUCGAGUCCCUUCACCCGCA